This 520-nucleotide small RNA is filed under the name uncultured Entrophospora. Its description in RNAcentral is "SSU rRNA". It matches the Rfam family "Eukaryotic small subunit ribosomal RNA", at positions 569 to 1093 of the family's 1831-position model. The record is from RNAcentral. Lineage: Eukaryota; Fungi; Glomeromycota; Glomeromycetes; Entrophosporales; Entrophosporaceae.
AGCAGCCGCGGUAAUUCCAGCUCCAAUAGCGUAUAUUAAAGUUGUUGCAGUUAAAAAGCUCGUAGUUGAAUUUCGGGGUCAGUAGGUUGGUCGUGCCACAGGUAUGCACUGGUCUCACUGAUUCCUCCUUCCUGAUGAACCGUAAUGCCAUUAAUUUGGUGUUGCGGGGAGACUGGACUGUUACUUUGAAAAAAUUAGAGUGUUUAAAGCAGGCUAACGCUUGAAUACAUUAGCAUGGAAUAACGGAAUAGGACGUUCGAUCUUAUUUUGUUGGUUUCUAAGAUUGACGUAAUGAUUAAUAGGGAUAGUUGGGGGCAUUAGUAUUCAAUUGUCAGAGGUGAAAUUCUUGGAUUUAUUGAAGACUAACUACUGCGAAAGCAUUUGCCAAGGAUGUUUUCAUUAAUCAAGAACGAAAGUUGGGGGCUCGAAGACGAUCAGAUACCGUCCUAGUCUCAACCAUAAACGAUGCCGACCAGGGAUCGGCGGAUGUUGCUUUUAGGACUCCGCCGGCACCUUCCGG